CCUUUCGUUGAACCCCUUCCGAUCUCUAGUUCUAAGUACACCAACCUUACCUUAUAGAACCAGAGUUGUGUACUCAUCCACCAAGAGAGAGUCUUUUACAUACAACCUUCACAUCCGUGCAAGACUACCGAGAGAGGUGCUUGCUUCUCACCCACCUCCCCAUAUAUAUCGGAGGUGUGUUUUAGAUUGGCAAUGUGUGUUAAGUGGUUUGAGCCACCCUGGCUUUGUCUUUUGAGCCAGUCUGGCUAAAUCAAGUUUUACACUUGAAAUCCGAAAAGCCACCCUGGCUACACGAUCCCAAUCCCAUGUUGGAGUAGAACCAAACUGGCUAAUGUGUUUGAGCCACCCUGGCUAAAACCAUUACUCGAUUGGUUUCUCAACCAGUUCGUUUGAGCCACUCUGGCUAAUGUAUAGAGUCACUCUGGCUUUAAUAACGUUGUCCUUGGUCUCUCAAACGUCCUGGUAGAGCCACUCUUGCCCUAGGGUAGUCGCUCUGACUUAACUGAUCCCAAAGACCGUCACCAAUACAGUUCAUUUGAGCCACCGCGGCCUAUCUAGUUUAACCAACCCGGCUAAAACUGAAAUCCAAACCCUGUAUACACCUAUACCAUUUCACCAACUCCCGAAACCUCGUAUAGUGAUUCGUGAAACUCGUUCGUUCGGUAAUUCGUUGUGGAGUAGGGGAAAAUUAUCAUAACCGAAAAGGAUAGUUGAGUUACACUAGAACCUAGUGAUUUUACUUUUACAUCUCAGAACUCGAAAACUCGAAAACGGUUAGAAGACAGGAAGCGUAGAACUUCCCCAAGGUGUAGGAGAACAGGUGCGGUGAGGUGUCAACUUGAGUAGACUUUAUAUGAUCCAUCUUCAUAAUCAGGUUGUUCUCUAUACAACUGUAAUUAAUGGUUUUGGUGAGUCCCUCGUGAACACGAAAGUGGCUCUUGGGGCCUAGUCUCCUACCGCCGAGAGGGAGUACUCCCGUAAUAAAACCUCGUUGAUGACCUACCUCCUGCAUUCCUCACCUCGCCACACGUAGAUGGCACAACUGCUGCCACUCUAAGCCGCCACACCGCGUCACCCCAGGGUCACUACCUGCACACUACUACCUAAGUACGUCCCUCCACCGCGACAGACCGCGGUACCACAGCAGCUGUCGUCCGGACCGUUCCAGUUACGCAGUUAUGGCCGAGACUUCUACCUAGUCACCUUCUACCACCGCCGCCGAAGACGUCACACGUGCACGCCACUGGUGACUCUCACGCGGCCUGGCCACACACGGAGUCUGGACCGUUACGCCGAACCAAUCCCGGAGGCCGUAAUCUACAACUAGAAACCACACUCCAUACCCAUAUGCCGAAUCUAUUAGACGUGGGGGAAGAUGUUCAACUAUCCUUAUCGCUACCUAAAACGGCUCUACCACUGAAGUCUGAACAACUACGUAACGAAACAUACCAGAACUACUUGUUAAUUAUUUUAUUGAUCAGCACUUGGGCACGUUGACGUGCCCGAUCGUAUUUUUUUUUUGAUUUUUUCGUACUCAUACUGUUGUACACUUUCAUCAGGAAACACUAUACAUCCCCCUUUGUUUAUUACAGUAACGUCCUAAAGGAGUUAGUGAUUAAUUGAUAUUAUUUCCACGUUAGAAAUCGUUGUUUUUUUUCUGUUUAUUGUAUAUUUAGUCGAUGUAUAUCCCUAUAACAGAACGUACCAUAUCAAUCUUUGCUUGGUUUAUAUCAUCAUUGUAGAUAAAAGUACUUGUUUGGAUCAAAGAACAUUGUUGAGUGUCGGGUUCUUCCAGAGGAGAUUUUUAUUACCCAUAGGACUAUCAUGAGGAUACUAACUAACAAUCAAAAUUCGUAUUCUUUAGUCAAAUUUUAAUAUCUACUCUAGGUUUAUAAAAGUACUAUGAGCUACACAAAUUUCCACAAUAGUCUCCUUAGGGCAUAUGUUAAAGAGGUCAAGACUUCGUGUUACCUAAACUUGGAUGUAAAAACACGCUCUUGGAAAGCUAGGUAAGUAAUAAAAAAACACGCUCUUGGAAAGCUAGAUAAUUAAUAUAUAAAGAGGUCAAGAAAAAAACGCUCUUGGAAAACUAGGUAAGUAAUAAUAAAAAGGAGCUCAAGACCUCGUGUUACCUAAACUUGGAUAUAAAAACAUUUGAAUAAAUACAUCAAAUAAAAAACCGUUAUCUUUCACUUUGAGUUUAUCUGAUAAUUAUUAAAACUUAUUUUAAUUAAGAACGUAUGACUUCGCCUGAGUUAAUUCUGGAUGUCUUCGUAUUAAAUAGAUCGCACAGUUGAUUAUUCUGUUUUUUAUAGCUAAUGCAUCAAAAGGAAAUUAAAGUUGUAGACGUGGUGUUUUAGAAAGAUAAUUUUAAGGAACCUUAGUUAAUAUGAAAAUCUCUAAUUCAAAGUACUUGAACACGGGAGAUUCUGUUUUAUCGUUUUAUAUAAAUGAGAAGGCGAAAAGCAAUAUCUUAAUGUAAGAAAUUAAAUUACAUUUUAUUUACUGCCCUUAACAUAUAUUUGGUAUAUAUAGUAAGCAUACAACGGAACCUCACUUAGAGGUUGAAUAUCCGUAUCUAGCAUUAUAUUAAAAAAUUGACCAACGUUAACGAGGUAGCAUUCCGUAGUGGAAAUGCCCGAUGGUAGGUGUGGUAAAGUUUUUUCUGUUGGUAGUCUAUGGGAGCGUUUUCCGGUAGCAUUCCGUAGUGGAAAUAGAACACUAAGGUCGGUAUGCAUAUCUUCAUCCUGAGUUAUAUUAAUACACAUGCACAUUAGUGUUUUCUUUGUCCUCUUCUUAACAGUCUUUAGGAAAAAUUGCACUGACGGAAAAGAAAACGUAGGUCUAUUAAAAAGACAGGGGUAAUUGGCGAGUAUAACAGAUGAAUUUAGACCGGCAAUAUUGAGCCAAGGUAGUCUAAUUGCCAAGGAUAACAGAUUACUUUAGACCGGCAAUAUUGAGCCAGGGUAGUCUAAUUGCCGAGGAUAAAAGAUUAAUUGCACCAUUAAAAAACCAUAUCCAUAUAUAUCCAUAUCUCCAUAUCUAUCUAUCUAUCUAUCUAACGUACGUAACAGGACUACGUCGGCCUCCAGUAGGAGGAAAAGUUUUUUUUUCUCUCUAUCGUGACCAACUGAAGUCUGAACAACUACGUAACGAAACAUACCAGAACCACUUGUUAAUUAUUUUAUUGAGCAGCACUUGGGCACGUUGACGUGCCCGAUCGUAUUUUUUUUGAUUUUUUCGUACUCAUACUGUUGUACACUUUCAUCAGGAAACACUAUACAUCCCCCUUUCUUUAUUACAGUAACGUCCUAAAGGAGUUAGUGAUUAAUUGAUAUUAUUUCCACGUUAGAAAUCGUUGUUUUUUUCCGUUUAUUGUAUAUUUAGUCGAUGUAUAUCCCUAUAACAGAACGUACCAUAUCAAUCUUUGCUUGGUUUAUAUCAACAUUGUAAAUAAAAGUACUUGUUUGGAUCAAAGAACAUUGUUGAGUGUCGGGUUCUUCCAGAGGAGAUUUUUAUUACCCAUAGGACUAUCAUGAGGAUACUAACUAACAAUCAAAAUUCGUAUUCUUUAGUCAAAUUUUAAUAUCUACUCUAGGUUUAUAAAAGUACUAUGAGCUACACAAAUUUCCACAAUAGUCUCCUUAGGGCAUAUGUUAAAGAGGUCAAGACUUCGUGUUACCUAAACUUGGAUAUAAAAACACGCUCUUGGAAAGCUAGGUAAGUAAUAAAAAAACACGCUCUUGGAAAGCUAGAUAAUUAAUAUAUAAAGAGGUCAAGAAAAAAACACUCUUGGAAACUAGGUAAGUAAUAAUAAAAAGGAGUUCAAGACCUCUUGUUACCUAAACUUGGAUAUAAAAACAUUUGAAUAAAUACAUCAAAUAAAAAACCGUUAUCUUUCACUUUGAGUUUAUCUGAUAAUUAUUAAAACUUAUUUUAAUUAAGAACGUAUGACUUCGCCUGAGUUAAUUCUGGAUGUCUUCGUAUUAAAUAGAUCGCACAGUUGAUUAUUCUGUUUUUUAUAGCUAAUGCAUCAAAAGGAAAUUAAAGUUGUAGACGUGGUGUUUUAGAAAGAUAAUUUUAAGGAACCUUAGUUAAUAUGAAAAUCUCUAAUUCAAAGUACUUGAACACGGGAGAUUCUGUUUUAUCGUUUUAUAUAAAUGAGAAGGCGAAAAGCAAUAUCUUAAUGUAAGAAAUUAAAUUACAUUUUAUUUACUGCCCUUAACAUAUAUUUGGUAUAUAUAGUAAGCAUACAACGGAACCUCACUUAGAGGUUGAAUAUCCGUAUCUAGCAUUAUAUUAAAAAAUUGACCAACGUUAACGAGGUAGCAUUCCGUAGUGGAAAUGCCCGAUGGUAGGUGUGGUAAAGUUUUUUCUGUUGGUAGUCUAUGGGUGCGUUUUCCGGUAGUUAAAUUAUACACCGAUCUAUAAUUAUCAAAAUUUGAUGAUAAAAAAUAACCAUUGUACUGCUUCAGCUAGGAAAACAGGUGAUAUAUGGUAGACU
RNAcentral lists this ribosomal RNA (4504 nucleotides) under Triticum aestivum (bread wheat). RNAcentral's name for it is "partial small subunit ribosomal RNA". The record is from RNAcentral. Lineage: Eukaryota; Viridiplantae; Streptophyta; Magnoliopsida; Poales; Poaceae.